CUUGGUCUGAGGGCAACACAGAGUCCAGCAAGGACAGCUGGGAGUCAAAGCAGGCCCAAGUGUCUUGAAGGGCAGCUCAUCCUAGGAAGAACUAGAAACAGCAGGGACCAGGGUUCCCAUAGCAGUGGGACUGGCCACUCAAGAACCCAGGGAGAGAAACUGCUGGACUCACCAGGGAGAGGAGCCUUGGAAUGAAGCCACACAGAUGUAUCUGGACCAGGACUCCAACCUCCAGCCUAGAAAAGCUGACCAUAGACAAAGGCUAAUGACAAUGUAGCUUUGGACACACAUGGAUUCAACUACCUCAAGCCUGAAGAGAAACAGGUACAGGACCCAAUGGGGCAAUGUACCCAGGCUAAAAUCUGGACACUAAAAAGCCUAUUAAAAGUAGUGAAGGCCAAAUAUGGACCCUUAGAAUCCUGAGCUAAAGUCUGAGAUGAAAGCACCCCAGGUAUAAGCAUAAACCUAAAGAUGCAGGAACUCAAAUAAGAAGCGUUUCCUGGUCUCUCAUGGACCAUUGUCCUACCAAGGCCCAAUGCAGAAGAGAAGUGUGCCUGGGACAAACCCUGCAGUGAAAGAGGCCUGCACCCCACCCAAAAAGUAUUGAGUGGGCUAAAAGUGGACCCUAAAGAAGCCCAAAUCUAGAAUAGAGUGGACGCUGGGCCAACCCUUGACCAUGAAAAGGGCAGGUCUAUGGACAGAUAAUAUAUUGACAUGGGUAAAUUUUCAAAUUAUAGAGGCCCAGGCCAAUCCAAGAAGAGAGGCAUGCCUGGGCCAAACUCUGACCCUGUAGAAGCCCAGAUCCAAAGCAAGAAGAGAGAUGGGCCUGGGCUAAUACCUUUCCCUGAAGAAGUCCAGGUCCAAAGCAAGAAAUGUGGGCCUGGGCCAAUCCCUCAAACUUAAGAUACUUAGGCCCAGAAAGAGAUGGCAUAUGGGCCUGGGACAAUCCGAAAAAUAGAGGCCCAGGUUAAACUACAAAAAAAAAAUGUAUGCCUUAGCCAAACCCUAUCCCUGAAGAAUCCCAGGCCCAAAGCAAGAAGAGAUAUGGGCCUAAGCUAAUACCUUACCCUUUAGAAUCCCAGGCCCAAAUGAAGAAGAGAUGUGGGCCUGGGCCAGUCCCUGAACCUUAAGAUGCCUGGGCCCAAAAAGAGAUGAUAUAUGGGCCUGGGACAAUCCCAAAUAUGGAAGAGGCCCAGGUUAAACUACAAAAGGAAAAUGCCUGGACCAAACCCUAACCCUGAAGAAGCCCAGACCCAAAGCCAGAAAAGAUAUGGACCUGGGCUAAUACCUUACCCUUGAGAAGCCCUGGCCCAAAGCAAGAAGAGUUGUGGGCCUAGGCCAACACCUGAAAUGACAGAGGCCCAGGGAAACUAUGAAAAGGAGUGAGCACAAUCAAAUUCAAUCCCUGAUUCCUAGUACAAUUACGAAAGUAAAAUCAUUCUGGAUUAACCCCUCACCAAAGAGACCUGGGCCCAAACAGAGCACUGUGCUCACACCAAAUCUAAAGUGAAAAACAUGUGGUUAGAGCAUAUACCAUGAGGCUCUCUGAUCCAAGGCCUUAGUUUCAAUUGGUACAAAACAACCAACCAGGUAUUAAUGCAGACAUAUGCCAGCUUGAACAUUGAUAACCUUGGACUCACCCACAAUACUUCCUGUACUAAUGACUGAUAUGGACAACCUGAGUAUCUAAUAUGUGCUUCUCACACAGAAACUUCACUCAAUCUAGGCAACAUUCUCAACACAUGUGAGCAAUAAUACAAGGGCUCACCAUAAUAAAAGGGCUCACUAAAUAACUAUCAGUGUAGACAUGCAAUACCUAAAAUCAUGUUAUGCUGCACCCUGUAGUGUCUGACACAAGGACUUAUCUUGACUUAGACUGAUUGUUUCAGAAAGAAGUAUUUCUCAAGUGUACCUCAGGCCACAGCCUGUAACCAAGAACCUUGGACUAAUCAUUGUUGGUGUGAUUUGGACACAUUUGGACACAUCAUAUCCUUCAAGAUCCAGAUCUUGAUGAUAACCUGAUGAUUAAUACAGGUGCAAGGACUUACACAGACCUCAAAGGAACCCGGCUGCUCCUUGAACCCCAAGAGCCUGGGCUAAUAUCGUCCUCAGGGGUGUGUGGAUUGCACCCUCUUUCUAUGCAAUUUAGGACAAAAUCCCACCACAAAGGAGUGAUGCCUUAAAGGGACCAAGCCUCGCCUUAAUAGACAUAACCAUGACCCUGACCUGGUCUGACCACCAGGCAUUACCUUCAUGUUAGUUUAUUUUGUAGGAUAUCAGUGGAAGUUAGGAGCUGUUGGACCACCAAGAGCCUUGGGUCAAAUUUCAAGUGUGUUUGGGCCACACCUUCUCUUCUUCCAACCCAGACUCCAUUACCAAUACAGGGAAGCCAGGACCAAAUGACAUACUUGACUGUGCCCAAGCCACAAAUGACCAUCAACCAACAUGGGCAGACCUUGUACUUAGGGGUGUGUGGGCCGCACCUUUAUUUCAAGUCUGACCACAUGCUGUCUGGACUUCAAGAAAUACAGGAGAAGAUGAUGUGAGUUAGCCCACAAGAAACCUUCUAACAAGAAUGGACCCACUGUACUAACAAAAGCAUUGGUGGUUUAAUCACUGAAUUUCCACAUAUUACCUUACAGAUGUGUAGACUAUACACACCUUUCACCCAGCUCAGGCAACCAUGCUCAAAUCAGGGAGUCAGGACAACCUCACAGCCUUCAUGACCAUCUGGGUCACAUUUGAAAAUCAAAUAACAUGGGCACACAUUGGAUAGAGGGUGUGUGGGCCGCACCCAGGAAUCCCUGUGCCCAGGGUUUAUCAGGACUACAACAGAUGAAGAACAGCACUUUGAUCUCAAGUGUGACCUAGAGCACAUACUACUCCAGGAAGGUUGGACACAUUUUAACACCAUGGGGUGGUGGUCUGCAGAAUGACAUCAUGGAAAAAGACCAUGAAGUGACAUCAAUGGGAUCCUGCCAGCCAAUCAAUGUCAGUGUGAGUUGGGGGCUAACUUACCACCAUGAAGCCUGGGUCAAAAUUAACUUUGAGGCUUGUGGACCUCACCUUCUCUUCAUCAAACUCAAGAGAUAAGCUUAACUAGGAGGACCCAGGACCACAAAACAUGGCCUUCAUGAUGUCUGGGUCACACCAGAGAAGCAACCUGGGCAGACUUUGCCAUGAUGGGUGUGUGGGCCGCACCCAAGUGUCAUUAUUUGUCCAGGUACUAUCUUGUCUACAAGAGACCCAGGACAAGAUGAUCUCAUGUGUGACUUAGGCAACACCAAGAAACUCACAGGCAAUUGGAAUCACCACAACAACCAGCAUGAGUGGUCUGUUAUGUGACAUCAGCCUCAUAAACUUCACAAGCCUCACAAGACUGUGGUCCAAACCCUCUUAGCCUGACAUCCCAGGUUCCCUCCGCACUCCCUGUUGACCUUUGUCCUCAACCUGACCUGAAUAGAAACAUCAAGUAACCCAUUGGGUUAAGAAGGUGAUGGACCAGAAGUACAGACAACUUUAAUGGUAAUGAGUAAUGAGAAAUCUUGAAGGCCCUCCUCUGGAGGCAUGUUUUUUGGCUUGUUCACUGUCUAGAAGUAGUUACUGAGUAUUCCUCAAAAUCUCAAAAGAGCCUACCUAAAGAAAGAUGGAAUUAUAUAGUGAUUUCUAUAAAUCUCUGUCUUCAUCUUCUGUAUAUAAAACAGUUCAGAAGCAGUGCAGUGUUAUAUUAUUCUUUAUUGUGCAUUUCAUGCUGUAGCAUUGUGUAUAUAGUAUUCAAUAAACAUGAUGUUCAUCUGCAA
Long non-coding RNA from Peromyscus leucopus (white-footed mouse), 3800 nucleotides. RefSeq lists it as uncharacterized. The transcript is spliced from 3 exons. Lineage: Eukaryota; Metazoa; Chordata; Mammalia; Rodentia; Cricetidae. The record is from RefSeq and is a predicted model, not a curated record.